RNAcentral lists this ribosomal RNA (108 nucleotides) under Hucho hucho (huchen). The record is from RNAcentral. Lineage: Eukaryota; Metazoa; Chordata; Actinopteri; Salmoniformes; Salmonidae.
UGCCAGCACCAUACCACCCUGCAUCCCACUGCUGGCUUGCUUCUGAAGCUAAGCAGGGUUGGUCCUGGUCAGUCCCUGGAUGGGAGACCAGAUGCCAGUAGGAGGCAC